RNAcentral lists this ribosomal RNA (1895 nucleotides) under Sinorhizobium medicae. RNAcentral's name for it is "bacterial LSU rRNA". It matches the Rfam family "Bacterial large subunit ribosomal RNA", at positions 209 to 2259 of the family's 2925-position model. The record is from RNAcentral. Lineage: Bacteria; Pseudomonadati; Pseudomonadota; Alphaproteobacteria; Hyphomicrobiales; Rhizobiaceae.
CCUGCAGGAAAGGACAUCAACCGAGACUCCGCAAGUAGCGGCGAGCGAACGCGGACCAGGCCAGUGGCAAUGAGGAAUAAAGUGGAAAGAUCUGGAAAGGUCUGCCGUAGCGGGUGACAGCCCCGUACACGUAGAACACUCAUUGUCCUUGAGUAGGGCGGGACACGAGAAAUCCUGUCUGAACAUGGGGAGACCACUCUCCAAGCCUAAGUACUCGUGCAUGACCGAUAGCGAACAAGUACCGUGAGGGAAAGGUGAAAAGCACCCCGACAAGGGGAGUGAAAUAGAACCUGAAACCGGAUGCCUACAAACAGUCGGAGCCCGCAAGGGUGACGGCGUACCUUUUGUAUAAUGGGUCAACGACUUAGUGUGGCAUGCAAGCUUAAGCCGGUAGGUGGAGGCGUAGCGAAAGCGAGUCUGAACAGGGCGCUUUAGUAUGUCGCAUUAGACCCGAAACCGAGUGAUCUAGCCAUGAGCAGGUUGAAGGUUGGGUAACACCAACUGGAGGACCGAACCCGCAUCUGUUGCAAUAGAUUGGGAUGACUUGUGGCUAGGGGUGAAAGGCCAAUCAAACUCGGAAAUAGCUGGUUCUCCGCGAAAUCUAUUUAGGUAGAGCGUCGACCGAAUACCCCCGGGGGUAGAGCACUGGAUGGGCUAUGGGGACUCACCGUCUUACUGAUCCUAACCAAACUCCGAAUACCGGGGAGUACUAGUCGGCAGACACACGGCGGGUGCUAACGUCCGUCGUGAAGAGGGCAACAACCCUGACCUCCAGCUAAGGUCCCCAAGUCAUGGCUAAGUGGGAAAGGAUGUGAGGAUCCCAAAACAACCAGGAUGUUGGCUUAGAAGCAGUCAUCAUUUAAAGAAAGCGUAACAGCUCACUGGUCUAAAUAAGGGUCUUUGCGCCGAAAAUGUAACGGGGCUAAAGCCAUGCACCGAAGCUGAGGCUUGUAGCAUUCCUCGGAGUGCUGCAGGGGUAGCGGAGCGUUCCGUAAGCCUGUGAAGGGAUACCCGUGAGGGGUCCUGGAGGUAUCGGAAGUGCGAAUGUUGACAUGAGUAACGAUAAAGAGGGUGAGAGACCCUCUCGCCGAAAGACCAAGGGUUCCUGCUUAAAGUUAAUCUGAGCAGGGUUAGCCGGCCCCUAAGACGAGGCGGACACGCGUAGUCGAUGGGAACCACGUUAAUAUUCGUGGGCCUGGUGGUAGUGACGGAUUGCUUAACUUGUUCGGACUUAAUGGAUUGUCCGGGCGGGGACGCGGUUCCAGGAAAUAGCUCCACCGUAUAGACCGUACCCGAAACCGACACAGGUGGUCAGGUAGAGUAUACCAAGGCGCUUGAGAGAACUAUGCUGAAGGAACUCGGCAAAUUGCACGCGUAACUUCGGAAGAAGCGUGACCCUUUUUGACGCAAGUCAGAUGGGGUGGCACAGACCAGGGGGUAGCGACUGUUUAUCAAAAACACAGGGCUCUGCGAAGUCGCAAGACGACGUAUAGGGUCUGACGCCUGCCCGGUGCUGGAAGGUUAAGAGGAGGGGUGCAAGCUCUGAAUCGAAGCCCCAGUAAACGGCGGCCGUAACUAUAACGGUCCUAAGGUAGCGAAAUUCCUUGUCGGGUAAGUUCCGACCUGCACGAAUGGCGUAACGACUUCCCCGCUGUCUCCAGCAUAGACUCAGUGAAAUUGAAUUCCCCGUGAAGAUGCGGGGUUCCUGCGGUCAGACGGAAAGACCCCGUGCACCUUUACUAUAGCUUUACACUGGCAUUCGUGUCGGCAUGUGUAGGAUAGGUGGUAGGCUUUGAAGCGGGGACGCCAGUUCUCGUGGAGCCAUCCUUGAAAUACCACCCUUAUCGUCAUGGAUGUCUAACCGCGGUCCGUUAUCCGGAUCCGGGACAGUGUAU